GGCCGGUUAGCUCAGCUGGUUAGAGCGUGGUGCUAAUAACGCCAAGGUCGAGGGUUCGAUCCCCGUACUGGCCA
Molecule: non-coding RNA, 74 nt
Organism: Danio rerio (zebrafish)
Lineage: Eukaryota; Metazoa; Chordata; Actinopteri; Cypriniformes; Danionidae
Source: Rfam